Molecule: non-coding RNA, 122 nt
Filed under: Syntrophaceticus schinkii
Lineage: Bacteria; Bacillati; Bacillota; Clostridia; Thermoanaerobacterales; Thermoanaerobacterales Family III. Incertae Sedis
Description: MoCo sequence
Rfam family: Molybdenum/Tungsten riboswitch aptamer (Moco RNA motif)
Source: Rfam by way of RNAcentral
ACAAAUGCGGUCCUCCGAGUCUUUCGGCCUGUCGCUACAGAGCUAAUGGCCGAUAAACCGAUAGGGUGUAUCUGGAAACGGGUGCGCCUCCCAUUGUGAAAAGGAGGAUUUAAUGAUGUUAU